This is a long non-coding RNA of Mus musculus (house mouse), 774 nucleotides long. RefSeq annotates it as RIKEN cDNA 4930572O13 gene. The transcript is spliced from 3 exons. Lineage: Eukaryota; Metazoa; Chordata; Mammalia; Rodentia; Muridae. The record is from RefSeq and is marked validated.
AGAUAUAAGAAGCAGUGCCAAAUCAGGGGUUGGUGAACUCUCAUGCUUUCUUUCCUUAAAGUAUUUUUACAUGUUCGGACAUUGCUUUGCAUGGGGUGUGAUGGCCCACUGUUUCCGCAAGACCAUACCAUUUCUGGAUGGAUCGGCCUGCUUGGAGCUCCAGUGUCUCACAGCCUCAGAGGGAACCUUUAUCUGAGUUGCUGAGCAAACUCUGGGUACACCAAUGAAGGCUUGCUAAGGAGACUCUGGCAAGAGCUACCGACGUGCUCUUCUGCUCCUGAGGUUCAGAUGUAGCCAGUGCAAGCAAACACUGAAUCUAAGAAGUUCCAUGUCAAGAACGUGGGGGGCCCCCUCUGUCGUUUGGAAUGAAUAACUUGCACCCCUUUUAUGAUCAGACACCCUAUGGAGUUAAAGCUUCAAGAGUUAGAGGGACACAUAGGUGUGUGCCACCCUCAACCAACAGCCCCCCACUGUAGGGGUACACUGUAGUCUUCUGCCUCACACAGUUGUUGAUCUCUUGUCUGCUGACCACAAGAAGACUUCCAGUUUACACUCUUAGCUUAUGCUUCCGAGGGUGAUCUUUCUUCAGGCUUCAGUCAAUGUCAAUAUUAUGGAUUCUAUCAUGGCCUGGCCCAGGCUCUGUCUUCACACUGUACCCACCCUGCCCACCACGGACCAGCAGGUGGUCCUCUGCCUUCCAGGGCCUUGUACUCUCAGGUACCUCAUGGGGACUCAACCACAUGUAUAGAGGGAACCAAUAAACAGCAUUCUUGG